GAUGAACGCUGGCGGCGUGCCUAACACAUGCAAGUCGAACGCUCGCAAGAGAGUGGCGCACGGGUGAGUAACACGUAGCUAAUCUGCCCUCAAGACAAGGAUAACUGUAGGAAACUACUGCUAAUACUUGAUAAGCUUACGGACUGUAGAGGUCUAUAAGAAAGAUUUAUCGCUUGAGGAUGAGGCUGCGCGCCAUCAGCUAGUUGGUAAGGUAAUGGCUUACCAAGGCGACGACGGCUAGGGGACCUGAGAGGGUGA
This 258-nucleotide ribosomal RNA is filed under the name uncultured bacterium. RNAcentral's name for it is "partial 16S ribosomal RNA". It matches the Rfam family "Bacterial small subunit ribosomal RNA", at positions 28 to 303 of the family's 1533-position model. The record is from RNAcentral.